GGGAGGUAUGGAGCGAUGGAAGAACAAGUUUACCGAACUCUGCAACUCGUUAAAAACAUACCACGAUCUUGGCCGGAAAAGUAAUUUAUGGCGAAAUGUCAGCAGUCAGAUGAUGCUGCCGUGAAUAGGCAUAUAUGUUUACGAAUUUAGCGAAAUCCAAUGCUAAAAUUAGCUUAACUUUGAUUACCUAUACCUGCGCUGCGCCUCUGCACCGUGUCUAUGCUUUACGCCCUACCUCGCGGUGAGUGAAACGCAUAUUUAUCCGAAGGCAGCCUAACUUGGUUCGAGCGGGUACAAUCUCCGACGACAAGGGUGCAACGCUUUACGGCAUGAAGUCAAGCCGGAAUUCUCAAUACGAAAAAAAAUAUGGUAGCGAAGAGACCGAAGAGGAUGUUGACGGAGGAAGCCAAGAAGAGAGGAAAGAAAAAAAAAGUGACCGACACAGAAGCAAGACGAGGAAAUCUCGGGCUGGCUUUUAGUAGUUGGCGAGGGAUUCGUGAAAUAAAAGGCUGCAAGACAGACGCCUGGCUGGCCCUCUUGCUGUUUGACUUAUCGAGGGCGUGGCAAAUAUAAGGCAUGGGUUCUCCAACAUUCCCUUGACAUCAGACAUGCCGCGUAGAAUUUGGGCAAAAAGCUACGACGGACCGGCACAGUAAAGGACCAAUCUGCAAUCAUGGCGUGGAUCAAACUCAUUGUGAACCACUUUUGGUAUUGCUGCAAACAAGCAACAACCGAUGAGCAGUUCAAGAUGAUGUGGCAUGAUGUCCUACAUCAUGUCUGCAGUCAAGACAUGUGGGUAUCUGGUUGCUGUAAGCAUGAGCCAAUGGAUGACAGCAGCCAAAAAAGCCAUAGAUAAAGUAAGAUUGGAGACUUACCAAAACCACAUCCUCAUGUAUGCGGGAAAGCGGUUUGCCUACAGCCCACCUUUAUACAAAACACGGACUUUGUGUACAGCAAUUGAUUACAAUCAUCACAACCACCGCCUUCCUGCACGUAGCCAUGAUGGACACAAGAUGUAUGGGCGGUACUACAAUAAGAAAUCCAAGAGCUGGAGUGUCUGCACCAUGAAGAGGACAAAGAACUACAGCUACAUCCCAGACGUGCAGAAGGCUAUUCUUGCCAAGAGGCUGGGAAGUGGAACGGGCCUUCCCAGAAAAUGAAGUCUAAGGCCUAAUGAGCCUAGGGUCUUGGGUUUGCUUGUGCGACACAGCAAGCACUCACAUUUGAACUUGUAAGGACUCAGGUUUUAUGGGGAGAGGGUGGUCCCUGAAGUAUUUCUAAAUGUUCUGUUAACAAUUGGCUUUUUUCCAGUGGUUUAAGAAAGUUGUUUCUAAUCAACUCAGCAAUAUUUUUUUUUAACCCAAAUGGUCAUUUUGACAAAUAUCAUUUAGGUU
Molecule: long non-coding RNA, 1394 nt
Organism: Lampris incognitus (smalleye Pacific opah)
Lineage: Eukaryota; Metazoa; Chordata; Actinopteri; Lampriformes; Lampridae
Exons: 6
Source: RefSeq, a predicted model, not a curated record